Molecule: non-coding RNA, 284 nt
Filed under: Clostridium sp.
Lineage: Bacteria; Bacillati; Bacillota; Clostridia; Eubacteriales; Clostridiaceae
Description: T-box sequence
Rfam family: T-box leader
About the family: Uncharged tRNA acts as the effector for transcription antitermination of genes in the T-box leader family.
Source: RNAcentral
GUAAAAGCAAUGACCGUGCAGAGUAGAGACUCAUUUUCUAUCAGAGAGAGAGAAUCACCGGCUGAAAGUUCUCUUUAGUUCAGAUGACGAUCGAAUUUCCCACGCGAGCUGUAUUCCUGAACCGCUGUAUGAAAGCGUCCGCCGUUGAGACGGGGCAGAGGCAGCGAAGCCUUCGGCUUUGGAAAGUAGGGAAUGCCGUAGGUUGUACGUUACACAAGGACAGAGCGCCCAUGGGAAACCAUGGGAAUCAGGGUGGUACCGCGGAUUAUGACUUCGUCCCUUUU